UACAGAGGGUGCGAGCGUUAAUCGGAAUUACUGGGCGUAAAGCGUGCGUAGACGGUUAUUUAAGUCGGGUGUGAAAGCCCCGGGCUCAACCUGGGAAUUGCAUUCGAGACUGAAUAGCUAGGGUACGGUAGAGGGAAGCGGAAUUUCCGGUGUAGCGGUGAAAUGCGUAGAUAUAGGAAGGAACACCAGUGGCGAAGGCGACCACCUGGACUGAUACUGACACUGAGGUGCGAAAGCGUGGGGAGCAAACAGG
RNAcentral lists this ribosomal RNA (253 nucleotides) under uncultured bacterium. Its description in RNAcentral is "partial 16S ribosomal RNA". It matches the Rfam family "Bacterial small subunit ribosomal RNA", at positions 524 to 776 of the family's 1533-position model. The record is from RNAcentral.